ACACCGGCCGGGUGACUUGUCAAAAAUCAGCUGUAUAAUUAAAAAUUGUAAUAAAAUAGAAUAAUUAGCUAAAUCGCCCUAAAAAGUUGAUAAUUUAAUAGUAAUAGUCGUAAAUAUAGUGUACAAAUGUUUGUGACGUUAUUGCAAAAGGAUAACUCGUAAAAAUCUACACAACACGGAGGCGGUCAGCUGUCAACCGCUCAGUUCAAAUUAAUCGGAUUUUAACGGGAAGUAUCUCUCUAUUAUAACUGUAACACGCUAUAUUAUACUAAUUCUCGUGCAGUAGAUUAUGUUAUUUACUAUAAAAGUGAGAAUAACGGAAAAAAAAUAAAAAAUAAUAUCAAUUUUGUAACCUACCUUAUCUUAGAAAAUUAAAAAUUAAAAUCAAAUAAAACUAAAGAAGUCCCAAUACAUUCUUGAUUCUCAUAUAAGUUACAUGUUCCUUUAAUAGUAACUUCUGUUACAUUACACAUUGAAGGCAAAUUAUAGAUAUUAUAUGUUAACAAAAUCUAUAGCUACACUUCAAUUUUGUACUUAAUUUUCUAUCAAUUAAAUCAAACUCAUUCUUUUCCAUGCUAUAUAAUCUUGAAACUACUAAAUUCAUAUUUUAAAUAAUCCAACACCUAAGCCUAUUACCUAUAACUAUUCUUUUCUGUCUUUCUCAUCUUGUUUACUCCACGCUUUCAGUAAAUACCUGACACCAUGUUCGUUAUGACAAGGAAGGCCACUGCCAAGGACAUGGAGGUGAAACUGAAGUUAGCCCUGGAAAAGCUCAAAACAUCCGAAGAGCUCUGUCAACAACUGUUAAGGGAACGUGAUGACAGCGAGGAAGAAAUUCAGAAAAUAAUUAAUAAACGCAGAUGGCAGCUCUGAAGUGGAACAAAAGUGCUUUAUUUUUUGUAUUUUUCGGUGUUUUAAAUUAAUAAUUGAUAAAAUAGAAUUGUAUAAUUGUAAAAUAAAUUAAUAAUAAUUAAAUUGUAAUAGACAGCUGUGUUGCUGGGAAGUUUGUUCUUCACCACUUCUUCUUUCCAGCCAUAACACUAGGAAGUGGUGAAAGGGGGGCGUUUUGGGGGUGCUGUCAUUGUAAAAUUUUGACGUUAAAAAGUGCUAAUCGUAUUAGCCUAUUUUAAUAAAUGAUUUUGACUUUGA
Molecule: long non-coding RNA, 1149 nt
Organism: Helicoverpa armigera (cotton bollworm)
Lineage: Eukaryota; Metazoa; Arthropoda; Insecta; Lepidoptera; Noctuidae
Exons: 2
Source: RefSeq, a predicted model, not a curated record